RNAcentral lists this ribosomal RNA (480 nucleotides) under uncultured bacterium. RNAcentral describes it as "partial 16S ribosomal RNA". It matches the Rfam family "Bacterial small subunit ribosomal RNA", at positions 29 to 507 of the family's 1533-position model. The record is from RNAcentral.
AUGAACGCUGGCGGCGUGCUUAACACAUGCAAGUCGAACGAAGCAUUUAGGACAGAUUACUUCGGUUUGAAGUUCUUUAUGACUGAGUGGCGGACGGGUGAGUAACGCGUGGGUAACCUGCCUUGUACUGGGGGAUAGCAGCUGGAAACGGCUGGUAAUACCGCAUAAGCGCACAAUGUUGCAUGACAUGAUGUGAAAAACUCCGGUGGUAUAAGAUGGACCCGCGUCUGAUUAGCUAGUUGGUGAGAUAACAGCCCACCAAGGCGACGAUCAGUAGCCGACCUGAGAGGGUGACCGGCCACAUUGGGACUGAGACACGGCCCAGACUCCUACGGGAGGCAGCAGUGGGGAAUAUUGCACAAUGGAGGAAACUCUGAUGCAGCGACGCCGCGUGAGUGAAGAAGUAAUUCGUUAUGUAAAGCUCUAUCAGCAGGGAAGAUAGUGACGGUACCUGACGAAGAAGCUCCGGCUAAAUACGUG